RNAcentral lists this transfer RNA (355 nucleotides) under uncultured Microcystis sp. Its description in RNAcentral is "partial 16S-23S ribosomal RNA intergenic spacer". The stretch from base 133 to 206 matches the Rfam family "tRNA". The record is from RNAcentral. Lineage: Bacteria; Bacillati; Cyanobacteriota; Cyanophyceae; Chroococcales; Microcystaceae.
AAGGGAGACCUAAUUCGGGUAUAAGACGAAAAAAGAGUAGUCGAAACCGAGAAUCAAUCCCAAAAGGUCGGAACGAGGUAUGUGGCUUUCAAACUAGGUUCUGGGUUCACACAAGACCUGAAUCAGGAACAAGGGCUAUUAGCUCAGGUGGUUAGGGCGCACCCCUGAUAAGGGUGAGGUCCCUGGUUCGAGUCCAGGAUGGCCCACCUGCACAGGUGGCAAAAACAAAGAAGCGAGGAAUCAGCACCUUAUCUUAUCUAUAUAUAAGAGAGAAUGCUGGCUCUGAGUAAAGAGUCCAGAGGAACCUUGAAAACUGCAUAGAGCUAGGUGAAAAAGCCAAAAAAGAAGACCGCAA